This 5320-nucleotide long non-coding RNA is filed under the name Manihot esculenta (cassava). RNAcentral describes it as "long non-coding RNA (MESC_LNC009096)". The record is from RNAcentral. Lineage: Eukaryota; Viridiplantae; Streptophyta; Magnoliopsida; Malpighiales; Euphorbiaceae.
AUGAUUACUAGUUUGAGAUAAUUUGUUACCAAACUACUGCAAGUCUAUCCCCGAUUUAGUCAAGGAUCCAAGUCAAAGCAGCCACAUAUUGAGCCUUUGAAUUAAUCAAAUAUUUCAGUUAUCUUUCAGCUAUCUUUUAUUUAAUUGUUUUAAUGAUUCCUUCUUUGUAGAAGGGUAUUCCUCCACUUUUCAUUUCAUGUGGUUAGUUGAGGAGGGUGUUCCUCCAUGUUGAAGUAGUGCUCCUUUGAUGUAGGAAGGAGUUAUACUUCCUUUCUGUAUUUAAGCAAUAACAUCAAUGAAGAGGAUAGCUUCCAAAAUCAAUUAAGUCUUGAGCGCUUUAAGUCUCAGAGGUUUCAGGUUCCCUCUUUUAGAGCCUGAAUUGUUAAUGACCCGAGAUCGUAAAAAGACUAUUAACCCAAACACUCAAACUCCUGCCAUACCCUUAGCCCACAGACCCAUAUCCAGAUCCACAACCCGGGACCAUAAUAGUUUGGUAUCAGAGCCUGCAGUUAUGGGGGACUCUGUUCAAGGUCAACUCGCCAAGCUCUUUGAAUUGUUGUUGGCCGAGCAACAAGCAAACAAAGACCGAAAUGAAAAGGUUGAGCAAUUGCACGCCAAAUUGGAUGCAAUGUCUCAGGAAUUAGAAUCGAUUAAGAAAGGGUUGCAAUCUCGCAGCACUAGCAGUCAAGCAAAAUCAAGGAGGGAAUUUCGGGUGCUUUGGUUUUCGAAAGUUCGGGAGGAAGUUCGAUAGUACCGAAAUUCACAAAGCUUGAUUUUCUUCGUUAUAAUGGGCUGGAAGACCCUUUGGGGUGGCUUGCCCUAUGCCAGCAAUUUUUUUAGGCAGUUUAGCUUCGUACCAUUUGGAGGGGAUUGCUCAGCUGUGGUAUAUACAGCUGCUGGAUGACAUUCCAAAUCCCAAUUGGGAUGAGUUCACACAUCAAUGCAAUAUUCGUUUUGGGCCUCCAAUCCGCAGCAACAAAUUAGGCGAAUUGGCGAAGCUAAAGCAAACUGGUUCUGUUGCAGAAUAUCAUAACCGUUUUGAAGCCUUGGUGUCACACGAUGGCACCCUCACGCAGGAUCAAAAGGUCUAGUUGUACCUCAGUGAUUGCAGGACUCCAUUGCUGUUGAGGUCGAGCUACAUCAUCCAAAAGAUCUGGUGAAUGCAAUGAGUAUCUCCCGACUGUAUAAAUGGAAACUUUUCCCAAGUUCUCCGGCUAUGAGAGACACUCGUCGCGUUGCCUUCACAUUUGCACCUCGUGCCUACCGAUUGGUGAAGUGACUGAACCGUGAGGAGAUGGAAGAAAGACGGAAAAAGAGACUGUGUUUUAACUGUGAUGAACAGUUUGUUCGCGGCUGCCAAUUUAAAAAGCGUUUCUGGAUAGACUUGGUGGAGACCGAAGAAAUAGAGGACACAAAUUCUGAUCCAGAGCUGGAACAACCAAAGAUUUCAUUUAACGCCAUCACUGGAAUUUGAAAUCCUCAGUCCAUGUGACUACAGGGAUAUUGGAAGGGGGGACAAGUCUUAAUUCUAAUUGAUUCUGGCAGCACUCACAGUUUUGUGUCUGCAACAAAAAUCAAGGAACUUGGUGCUGAAGUAAACGGGCAGGAUUGCUUGAAAGUUAAUGUCGCCAAUGGUGAGCAGUUGGACAGCCCAGGUAUAUGCAAAGGAAUCCCAAUUCUACUAGAUUCUCACUCUUUUUCCGUGGACUUAUUUGUUCUGCCACUAACCGGUUUUGAUGUGGUUUUGGGAGUUAACUGGCUUCAGACUUUGGGACCCAUUCUGUGAGAUUUUGCUGUCGUGAGGAUGUGUUUCUUUCAACAGGAAACCUUGAUCGAAUUGCACAGCAUAACUUCAAUUUCCUAUACAAAGGAGUCUGAUCUCCACAGUAUGUUGCUUUCCCCAGAUUCCGAAAUUCAACUAGAGAAAUUGUUGGCAGAAUUUGCCUCUUUAUUCAGUGCGCCAACCGGAUUAACUCCUAGCAGGGCUGUGACCACCGUAUUCCUUUGGAACCAGGAGCAAAACCGAUGGUUGUUCGACCAUACCGCUGUCCACAUGGGCAGAAGGAUGAAAUCGAAAAGCAGUGUGCGGCCAUGUUGCAACAAGGCAUAAUCUGUCCAAGCCGAUCACCAUUCUCUUCUCCGGUGAUCCUAGUACCAAAGGCAGACGGUUCUUGGCGUUUAUGUAUCGAUUAUAGAGAAUUAAACGCCAAAACCAUUAAAGACAAAUUCUCAAUUCCUGCGAUAGAUGAGUUAUUAGAAGAACUGGGUGGUGCUAGAUACUUCACAAAGCUGGAUCUGCUUUCUGGUUAUUUUCAAGUGGGCAUGCAUCCUUCUGAUGUCGAGCAAACAACUUGUCGGACGCAUCACAGCCACUUUGAAUUCCUGGUAAUGCCGUUUGCUUUGACCAACGCACCUUCAACCUUCGAGGCCUUAAUGAAUGAGGUAUUUCAAUCAUACUUGAGGAAAUUUGUUCUCGUUUUUUUUUACAACACCUUGGUUUUUAGUCAGUCUUGGGCAGAACACCUUCACCACUUAUGACUUGUUUUUCAAUUGUUGGUGAAGAACAAAUUAUUCCUCAAACGCUCCAAGUGCGUUUUUAGCCAGACUCAAGUUUCAUAUUUGGGUCAUAUUAUUUCUCAUAAUGGAGUCCAGGUGGAUCAAUCCAAAAUAUCAUCAGUCCUAGAUUGGCCCAAGCCCAAACACAAUUCGUGGUUUGAGAGGAUUCUUAGGGCUUACGGGUUACUAUCGCAAAUUUGUCCAAAACUACGGAACCAUCACCGCUCCACUCACAGUCACAGCUAUGUUGCGGAAAAACAGUUUUCGUUGGAUUGAAGAGGCUGAGGCGGCAUUCGACAAAUUGAAAGAGGCAAUGACAUCAACUCCAAUCUUGGUUCUCCCUGAUUUUGAACUAACCUUUGUAAUAUAAUGUGAUGCCUCGAGUAUAGGAAUUGGGGCUGUUCUGUUACAGCAAAACAAACCAGUGGCAUACUUUAGUCGUUCAAUGGCCGUACGCCGUCAGAACCUUCCGACGUAUGAAAGAGAAACGAUCGGGUUGGUGAAGGCAAUCAAACAUUGGCAUUCUUAUCUCUGGGUCGGGAAUUUACUGUUCGAAUGAACCACUAGCCAUCUCUCUUCUUCUCAGCAACACUGGGUCAAUAAACUUAUGGGCUUUUGUUUUACGGUUGAAUACAAAGCUGGAAAAUCUAAUAUAGUUGUUGACGCACUCUCUCGAGGGAUGCUGAUCAAUCUGCCAUCUUGGCAGUUUCUAUGCCCCAACUAAGCCUGUUUGACGAUAUUUAGAAAGAGCAGCAUAAUUCAGAAGAAGUGCAGAAACGAAGCGCUGCGAUUCACACUGGACAGCCACUUCCAAAUGGAGUUUUAAGAAUUGUUUGCUCUUUUACAACAUCAGAGUUUACCUUCCUCAUAACUCCCCAUCUAUUCAACUAAUGGUCAGUGCUGCUCUCCAUAACUAGGGCAAGGAUACCGAAAAACCCUAUACAGAAUUACAAAGGAUUUUUUUUUGUUUGGAAUGUGUGAGAGAUUUUGUAUGCUCUUGUGAUACAUGUCAAAGGCAUAAAACAGAGACUUUACAACCGGCGGGACUCCUUCACCCUCUCCCUAUUCCAACGCAAGUUUGGGCUGAUAUCUCUAUUGACUUCAUCGAGGGAAUUCCAACUUCGCGUGCGAAAAAUGUACUGCUGGUAGUCGUCGACAGAUUUUCGAAGUAUGGGCAGUUUCUGGCUUUGUCUCAUCCAUAUACAGGCUCUUUCUUUGACAACAUUUUUAAAUUACAUGGCUUGCCAGAAACUUCAGUAACAAAGAUGUGACAUUUACAAGUUCCUUUUGGAAAGAACUUUUCCGUUUGAGUGGUACCAAGCUGUGUUUCAGUUCCUCUUAUCACCCACAGCCGGAUGGCCAAACGGAGGUGGUAAACCGCACCAUUGAAAUGCAUCUUCGCUGUUUCACAAGUUCUACUCCGAACAAAUGGAUGCUGAUUUCUGUUACAACACUAGCUACCAUUCCUCUCUUAAAACUACUUUCGAAACGAUUUAUGGCCGUCCUCCUCCCAGAUUAUUGUCAUAUCUACCUGGUAGUUCCACCAUUGAAGCUGUCGAUACUGUUUUAAGGACAAGAGAUGAGACUCUGCUCUCACUUCGUGAAAACCUACUGCAAGCCCAACAAAAAAUGAAGCAUACAUAUGAUCAAUCUCAUCGCCCUUUAGUGGGGGAUAAGGUUCUACUACGUUUACAGCCUUAUCGUCAAACUUCAGUUGCUAAAAGGAGGAAUCAGAAACUUUCGGCACGAUUUUAUGGCCCCUUUGUGAUAGUGGAACGUGUCGGUUCCAUGGCCUAUAAGUUGGAUCUUCCUGCUGAUUCAAAGCUCCAUUCAGUGUUUCAUGUUUCAAGUCUAAAACCUUAUCAUGAAGAUCAAUCUGCUCCUACACCAUUGCUGCCAUCUUUUCUGCUGCUAGAACCUGUUCAUCCUUUGGCCAUUCUAGACCACCGUAUUAAAGGAGGAAGUCAUAAGGUUCUCGUCCACUGGAAUCAUUCUUCUCCUGCCGAUGCUUCAUGGGAGAAGGUACAGGCAUUUUCUGCCAAAUAUCCAGAUUUUCAGCUUGAGGACAAGCUUCCUUUGGGGGCGGGAAGUAAUGUUACCAAACCACUGCAAGUCUAUACCCGAUUCAGUCAUGGAUCCAAGUCAAAGCAGCCACAUAUGAGCCUCUGAACUAGUCAAAUAUUUCAGUUAUCUUUCAACUAUCUUUUAGGUAAUUGUUUUAAUAAUUCCAUGUUUGUAGGAGGGUAUUCCUCCACCUUUUAUUUCAUAUGGUUAGUUGAGGAGGGUGUUCCUCCAUGUUGAAGUAAUGCUCCUUUGAUGUAGGAAGCAGUUAUACUUCCUUUCUGUAUUUAAGCAAUAACAUCAAUGAAGAGGAUAGCUUCCAAAAUUAGUUAAGUCUUGAGCGCUUUAAGUCUCAGAGGUUUCAGGUUUCCUCUUUUAGAGCCUGAAUUGUUAAUGACCCGAGGUCGUAAAAAGAUUCUUAACCCAAACACUCAAAUUCCGCCAUACUCUUAGCCCACAGACCCAUAACCAAAUCCACAACCCGGGACCAUAACAUAAUUACACAGCUUAUUAAAGAUAAUGGUAAAUUCAAUUGAAACCAUUAGACAUGUCAUGACCAUAGUUGAUUAUUUACUUUAGCACAUGGACUCCAUAUUCCAGAAUCACUGCCUUUACUUAUCACAAACGUUGAAAUGCUAGUUGAGGUCUUGACAUCAACCAAAUUAUAACCUACCUACAACACCCAAAAAAAUAGCUUUCCAGA